Molecule: transfer RNA, 64 nt
Filed under: Dipodomys ordii (Ord's kangaroo rat)
Lineage: Eukaryota; Metazoa; Chordata; Mammalia; Rodentia; Heteromyidae
Rfam family: tRNA
About the family: Transfer RNA (tRNA) molecules are approximately 80 nucleotides in length. Their secondary structure includes four short double-helical elements and three loops (D, anti-codon, and T loops). Further hydrogen bonds mediate the characteristic L-shaped molecular structure. tRNAs have two regions of fundamental functional importance: the anti-codon, which is responsible for specific mRNA codon recognition, and the 3' end, to which the tRNAs corresponding amino acid is attached (by aminoacyl-tRNA synthetases). tRNAs cope with the degeneracy of the genetic code in two manners: having more than one tRNA (with a specific anti-codon) for a particular amino acid; and 'wobble' base-pairing, i.e. permitting non-standard base-pairing at the 3rd anti-codon position.
Source: Rfam by way of RNAcentral
GGUGGCUUAAUGGUAGAGUGUUUGCCUAGCAUGCAUGAAGCCCUGAGUUCCAUCCUCAGUACCA